GAUCAAGAGACCGACGACGAGUUGACAACAAUACUUGAAGAUCCAAAGCAUUACGGAUUAUCGGCUUUCGUAUUACCAGAAGGAUGCUAUUUAACCAGUAGGUAUUAUUACAAAUAUUUUUCGGUCGUAAGCAUGCCUGCAGCUAGAGUUCUGGCUAUUCUUGAGGCCAACUCUUCCCCUGUAUUGAACUGUAAAUGAAUCAAUAGUUUAUGAAUACUUUCUGCCACCCUUAGUUAUAAAAUAAAGUUUGGCUUAGUCGGUAAGUAUCCUCCGAUUUCCCGUAUCAUUAGAGUUCAAAUCUCAAUUUAAAAAAGUGACAAAAAAGUUCAUCAUAAACAUAAACAAAUUGACAAAGUGCGUGUAGAACCCCACAAAUGUUUUGGUUCACGAUCAAUUUUUUUUAGCAAGUCGAUAAAGUAGGAGAUUUUGGUCUCGAAAUUUUGAUAAAAAUCUGUAUCAACAUUUCACGAUGCUACUUAAUGAGCGUUAAAUUUCUUUAUGAAUCGAUGACGAUCGCUAUCGAUUUGUUAUAUGAGCGUCUUUAAAG
Long non-coding RNA from Aedes aegypti (yellow fever mosquito), 547 nucleotides. RefSeq lists it as uncharacterized. The transcript is spliced from 2 exons. The record is from RefSeq and is a predicted model, not a curated record. Lineage: Eukaryota; Metazoa; Arthropoda; Insecta; Diptera; Culicidae.